UUUAGAUCUUUUGAUCACGUUUGGAGGCUGGCCUCUCGGCCAUGCCUAGACCUUGUUCUUAUGUAUUUUCAACGGUGGAGUUUCUACACACCAUAGAUUAAGGUGUGGAGCUCUGCUGUACCUCGAGUAUUAAUGCAAUUACUAUUGUUCUUCUAUUCAA
Long non-coding RNA from Arachis duranensis, 160 nucleotides. RefSeq lists it as uncharacterized. The record is from RefSeq and is a predicted model, not a curated record. Lineage: Eukaryota; Viridiplantae; Streptophyta; Magnoliopsida; Fabales; Fabaceae. The transcript has 2 exons.